AGCAUAUCAAUAAGCGGAGGAAAAGAAACCAACAGGGAUUGCCCCAGUAACGGCGAGUGAAGCGGCAACAGCUCAAAUUUGAAAUCUGGCCCUCGGGUCCGAGUUGUAAUUUGUAGAGGAUGCUUUUGGUGAGGUGCCUUCCGAGUUCCCUGGAACGGGACGCCAUAGAGGGUGAGAGCCCCGUCUGGUUGGACACCGAGCCUCUGUAAAGCUCCUUCGACGAGUCGAGUAGUUUGGGAAUGCUGCUCUAAAUGGGAGGUAUAUGUCUUCUAAAGCUAAAUACCGGCCAGAGACCGAUAGCGCACAAGUAGAGUGAUCGAAAGAUGAAAAGCACUUUGAAAAGAGGGUUAAAUAGUACGUGAAAUUGUUGAAAGGGAAGCGCUUGUGACCAGACUUGAGCCCGGUUAAUCAUCCAGCCUUCUGGCUGGUGCACUUGGCCGGCUCAGGCCAGCAUCAGUUCGGCGCGGGGGAUAAAGGCUUCGGGAAUGUGGCUCCUCCGGGAGUGUUAUAGCCCGUUGUGUAAUACCCUGUACUGGACUGAGGUUCGCGCAUCUGCAAGGAUGCUGGCGUAAUGGUCAUCAGCGACCCGUCUUGAAACACGGACCAAGGAGUCGUCCUCGUAUGCGAGUGUUCGGGUGUCAAACCCCUACGCGUAAUGAAAGUGAACGCAGGUGAGAGCUUCGGCGCAUCAUCGACCGAUCCUGAUGUUCUCGGACGGAUUUGAGUAAGAGCAUACGGGGCCGGACCCGAAAGAAGGUGAACUAUGCCUGUAUAGGGUGAAGCCAGAGGAAACUCUGGUGGAGGCUCGCAGCGGUUCUGACGUGCAAAUCGAUCGUCAAAUAUGGGCAUGGGGGGCGAAAGACUAAUUAAACCUUCUAGUAGCUGGUUUCCGCGA
RNAcentral lists this ribosomal RNA (895 nucleotides) under Cosmospora stilbosporae. RNAcentral describes it as "LSU rRNA". It matches the Rfam family "Eukaryotic large subunit ribosomal RNA", at positions 37 to 963 of the family's 3401-position model. The record is from RNAcentral. Lineage: Eukaryota; Fungi; Ascomycota; Sordariomycetes; Hypocreales; Nectriaceae.